Molecule: long non-coding RNA, 212 nt
Organism: Peromyscus eremicus (cactus mouse)
Lineage: Eukaryota; Metazoa; Chordata; Mammalia; Rodentia; Cricetidae
Exons: 3
Source: RefSeq, a predicted model, not a curated record
CGGCGACUGAAGCCGCGCAGCGAGGAGGGGCGGGGAGUGGCCGCCGCCGUCCCCGGGAGGCGCCGGAGCCCGACUGCACUCGCAGCCAGCCAGCCGUCCCGAGCCGCUCGCAGGUCACCUCUGACCCUGUUUUCCUAAUCCCAGACCUAGUUACUUCGUUGAAGGGGGCACUGAGGCUCGGCAGUAUUUCACUGAAAACACCCUGCGAGUAC